This 68-nucleotide transfer RNA is filed under the name Marmota monax (woodchuck). RNAcentral describes it as "tRNA.Gly". The stretch from base 5 to 65 matches the Rfam family "tRNA", at positions 6 to 65 of the family's 71-position model. From Rfam's summary of the family: Transfer RNA (tRNA) molecules are approximately 80 nucleotides in length. Their secondary structure includes four short double-helical elements and three loops (D, anti-codon, and T loops). Further hydrogen bonds mediate the characteristic L-shaped molecular structure. tRNAs have two regions of fundamental functional importance: the anti-codon, which is responsible for specific mRNA codon recognition, and the 3' end, to which the tRNAs corresponding amino acid is attached (by aminoacyl-tRNA synthetases). tRNAs cope with the degeneracy of the genetic code in two manners: having more than one tRNA (with a specific anti-codon) for a particular amino acid; and 'wobble' base-pairing, i.e. permitting non-standard base-pairing at the 3rd anti-codon position. The record is from RNAcentral. Lineage: Eukaryota; Metazoa; Chordata; Mammalia; Rodentia; Sciuridae.
GGACUGUAGCUUAGUGGUAGAGCACUUGCCUCCCACAUGUGAGGCACUGGGUUCGAUUCUCAGCACCA